CCCUUAGAUGUUCUGGGCCGCACGCGCGCUACACUGAUGCAUUCAACGAGCCUAUCCUUGACCGACAGGUCCGGGUAAUCUUUGAAUCUGCAUCGUGACGGGGAUAGAUUAUUGCAAUUAUUAAUCUUCAACGAGGAAUGCCUAGUAGGCGCAAGUCAUCAGCUUGCAUUGAUUACGUCCCUGCCCUUUGUACACACCGCCCGUCGCUCCUACCGAUUGAAUGAUCCGAUGAAUACCAUGGAUUGAGAGUACGAAUGGGUUCGCUCAUUUCUGCUGCUCGAGAAGUGGAGUAAAUCUUAUCAUUUAGAGGAAGGAGAAGUCGUAACA
This 327-nucleotide ribosomal RNA is filed under the name uncultured eukaryote. RNAcentral's name for it is "partial 18S ribosomal RNA". It matches the Rfam family "Eukaryotic small subunit ribosomal RNA", at positions 1470 to 1796 of the family's 1831-position model. The record is from RNAcentral.